GGGUUGUCAUGCCAAUGGCACUGCCCGGUAGCUAAAUGCGGAAGAGAUAAGUGCUGAAAGCAUCUAAGCACGAAACUUGCCCCGAGAUGAGUUCUCCCUGAGACUUUAAGUCUCCUGAAGGAACGUUGAAGACGACGACGUUGAUAGGCCGGGUGUGUAAGCGCAGCGAUGCGUUGAGCUAACCGGUACUAAUGAACCGUGAGGCUUAACCUUACAACGCCGAAG
This 225-nucleotide ribosomal RNA is filed under the name Klebsiella pneumoniae. RNAcentral's name for it is "partial 23S ribosomal RNA". It matches the Rfam family "Bacterial large subunit ribosomal RNA", at positions 2718 to 2925 of the family's 2925-position model. The record is from RNAcentral. RNAcentral also lists the same sequence under 4 other names. Lineage: Bacteria; Pseudomonadati; Pseudomonadota; Gammaproteobacteria; Enterobacterales; Enterobacteriaceae.